GAAGCACUAGUACAACAAACUACACCGCCUUGUCAAGGCGAAGAUGCAGGUUAAACCCCUGCGUGCCUCA
Scleropages formosus (Asian bonytongue) is the source of this 70-nucleotide non-coding RNA. Lineage: Eukaryota; Metazoa; Chordata; Actinopteri; Osteoglossiformes; Osteoglossidae. The record is from the annotation of a RefSeq genome assembly.